Molecule: long non-coding RNA, 1064 nt
Filed under: Oryzias javanicus (javanese ricefish)
Lineage: Eukaryota; Metazoa; Chordata; Actinopteri; Beloniformes; Adrianichthyidae
Description: lncRNA (ENSOJAG00000023400.1)
Source: RNAcentral
CGUUAUUUUCCCAGCAGGCUCUGCCCCCACAGAUUAAAAAAAAAAAACUCAGAGACAAACAGGAUUUGGUGCCCAGAGUGUAAUGAAGCCUCCACCUCACGCUGGCUUCUCCGACGGCACAGAGAUAGUGUAACAUCUGCUGGUUUUAAAUCUGCACUCUUAAUUUGAGAGUGAAGGCCUGAUAUUUAGACUCCUGUGACCCCACAGAGAGGACGGCGUUUUCUCAUACUUCGUCAAACUUGUUGACGUCAUUGGAGAGCAGGUUGACGAUCUGACCCGUGGUGGUUUUUCCCAUGGCUAAGCUGCUCAGAGACAGAGCCUGGAAAGACAGGAAGCACAGUUCAAACACUUGCAGUUAUUCCACAAAUAUUAACUAAUUGGAGGCCGACCUUCUUGUAGAUCAUGUGACACAUGGCCACUCGGAUCUUCAUGCCCGCCCUCUGGACGUGGUAGAAGUAAAGGUGGUGGAGCAACGUCAGGCCGAUGGUGAGGCUGGACAGGCCGGCCGCGUAGCCGAGCGUCUCGUGAAACGCCUUGACGUUAUUUGGAUCAUAACUCUCAAAGUAUUCAAUCAUUUUGCCCAAAACCACCGGCUGACUUUCUCCAUGGCUCGCGGGGCUGACUGACAGCUCGCCUCCCCGCCACCGGCCUCCCUCCUAACUUUGUCCUCUCCUUCAACAGCUGAAACUUCCAGCUCCGUGUUGUAACAUCUUCGACUCUACAUGUGAUGCCUUAGGAGGUGUGUUACACAACAAACGUGUGGCUUAUUAGCUAGAAGCUAAGGUGAAGUCACCUAUCUGAACCGCCCCCCGAGACAUCUGAUUGGCUACAAAAAUUAAAGGUCUCCUGCUAUUGGGUGUUUGCCUGAGGCGGGUUAACGUGAUUGGUUCAUAAGUCUCUUUACUGUUUUUGGACAUUAAAAUAUAGUUUUAAGAUAUUUUUUAAAUAAAUAAAUAGUAUAAUUCAAAAGGAAAUAAAUUUGGAAUUAAUAAAUUGAAUUUCAAAUAAUUUUAAUCUUGUAUUUUUUUUUUGAAAACUACUAUUCUUUUCCAUUUUACUUGUUU